Molecule: RNA transcript, 2792 nt
Organism: Arachis duranensis
Lineage: Eukaryota; Viridiplantae; Streptophyta; Magnoliopsida; Fabales; Fabaceae
Gene name: F-box/FBD/LRR-repeat protein At4g26340
Exons: 4
Source: RefSeq, a predicted model, not a curated record
UCAAUGUACAUGGCAGUGGUAGGGAUUGAGGAGAGUUCAAAUCCUGUUCUACCCUCUCCGUUGCCAUCGCCAGCCCUAACCGCUAUUCCUUCUUUAGACUUAUGCUGUGCAUGAAAAGGUUUUCAAUCCCAAACAAAUCCAGCUCAAUCGGUUCAUUCAUUCCUUCAUUUACAUUUUCAGUAGUGUCGUCAAAAUUGACAAUGCCGAAAGGGAAGCAAAGAAAAGUAGAAGAGGAGGAAUCAACAAGAAAAGGAACCCCCAAAAUAGACCUAAUCAGUAGCUUACCGGAUUCCCUGCUUUGCCACAUUCUCUCGUUCCUCCCAACAAGAUGUGCCAUGGCCACCAGCGUCCUCGCUCGCCGGUGGCGCCACCUCUGGAAGGAUCUUCUAGCGUUGGACUUAGACAAUAGUAAACAUAGUCCUUAUUAUCUACCUGGAGGGACACACCGAUUCAUUGCUUUCGUCAAUGCAGUUUUCGCUCAACGCAAGGCUCUCCGUGUCGAGAAGCUUCGCCUCGCUUGUGAUAUACCUAGAGGUGAAAAGAAAACCAUCAAAACAUGGAUUCGUACUGUUGUUGGACCCCACCUCCAAGAGAUGUAUCUCGAUUUAUCGUUUGCUUGCAAUGAGUUUGGGGAUCGACAUAUCAAAUUGCCUGAAGAGGUAUUAACCAGUGCAUCACUCGAGUCUCUUGUUUUGAAAGGCCAUGUGUUUUUGACUGUUUAUGAUGGAUUUGUUGAUUUGCCAUCCCUCAAGAACCUAGAGUUGGAUCUCAAUUAUGUGGACCCAGACUUUGUUUUACUUGGUUGCCCGGUUCUUGAAAAUCUCAAGCUCACUUUACACGAAUCGUUCCCACUUAAUGCGAGCCAACCUCCUGAAAUCUACAUGCCUGUUUCGUUGAAGCGUUUAACCUUAAUACAAGAUGAUGACAUCGAAGAAGAUAUUAAUGAUAUUGAGGAUCUUGUGAUAGACACCCCGUUACUCGAAUACCUAAGUAUCACAUUAUGGGCAAGAUGUUUACAGGUUUCAAUUAGCGAUUAUCCCAACAUGGUGGAAGCUCAUAUUGAUAUUGAUCAAGACCAAGAGCAGGUUGGUUGGGUGCUUGAGCUUCUCAAGGCACUCCGCCAAACAAAACUGUUGGACUUGAAACUUUCCACUAUGGAGUGCUUGCUUGGUGCUCCUGCUUUUGAGUUGCCAGAAUUUCCCCGUUUACUUAAUCUAGAGCUUCAAAUUCCUUAUUUCGACUCGGGAUUUCUGAUAAAAUUGCUUCAUAACUGCCAUAUACUUCAAGUUCUCACUCUUCAUAAUCAGGAGAAUGUUUCCACAGUGGAACCUGAGGAACCUAGUUGUUGGACACUGCCAAUGAAGGAUCCUGAUUGUGUUAUAUCACAUCUCAAGAUGUUAGAAUUUAAAGGAUAUAAAGACUCUGCAGAUGAACAUGCAUUUGUUGCAUAUCUUUUAGAGAGAGGAGCUAUUUUGAAGACAAUGAAAAUCCAUGCUGAUCCUAGUCUUGGCCUAACGUAUAAACAGCGCAUCCACCAGGAAUUAUCUAUGGUACCAAGGAGCUCCAAAACAUGCCAAUUAAUAGUUACCUGAGUAGCCAACAGUUACAUAUGGUACAAUCUCUCACCGUCUCUAUUCUCUCUUCUUGAGUUGCCUUAAAAUUAGUAUUAAAUGAAAGACCGCAUCUUUGGUCCAAUUCAUGCGUCAAUGUCACUUGUUUUCUUCAAAUAUUUGUUGAAGCUUUUGAUUACUUUUUACAUGGAUUAAUUUGUCUGAUCGGAUUAUUUGAAUGACUCUUCAGAUCAUUGCUGGGGUUUGGUUUGGUAGUUUUGGAAUUUGUUUGUACCUUCUCCCUCAAUGUCAAUAGAACUUCUUUGACUUCUUUGAUGUUUGUUUUGCAAAACAUACAGAAGUUUUGCCCUUUAGAAAUUAGAAUAUGCAUAAUUUUCACAAUACAAUGUUUUUUUACUUUUUUGUGGUUGUUUCACAAGACAAACUUGCAGUAAAAAGGUUUAUUGUUUAUUAAUUGUGAGUAUUUUAGCCCCUAAGUUAUGUUCCAAUGCAUAAUAUUUUUGCCCUUUGAUAGAUACUCUGCUGUUUAAUUAUUUUAUUUAUUUUUAGCAUGUAGAGCUCUAUAUAUUGUUUGGAUGUAAAUAGUUAUUCAAACUCUAAAUGUCAUGGUUUGUAAUAAAUGGUUUCUCUAAUUGUGAAUUGAAUUUAGGUAAUUUUUUGCCGAAGUAUUUUAUAGCACAAUAUUGCAGCCUAUAUUAUUAUGCAUUUGCCCGUUUUCUUUUUAGUCUUCCCUAAUUGUUAUAUAUAUAGCCCAUGUUGCAGUCUUUUUAGCUUUAAUAGAAAUUUAUCUAGGUGCCUGGUUUGCUAUGCAACAAGUCUAUGGUCAAAAGAUUGUUGUUUAAUGUUUAGUUAAUCAUAUGCUUUUAAUCUCAAUAGAAAUGACAUUCAAGAGGCAUGAAUGAUUGUUUAAUAUAACUAUUUCGUGCUGAGAAUAUUGAAGAUUGGGUACACAAGCUUCCUUCCUCUUGUGGUUCGGGAAGGGUAAAUGCAUCAACCUUGCCACUGCAAUCCUCAAAUCACUUUAUGUAUUUAACACUUUUGAGUAGAUGACAGCUUCCUUGCCUUGUAGUAAUGUGUAACUAACUCUUGCUAUAAUGGACAAUUGGAAAUAGAUGUAAUGGGAUUAGAGGAACAUCCACCGUAUGUUAUGAUACAUAUGAAUGAUAUGAUGUAUAGUAUUAAUGCAUGCUUUUCAAAACUAUGAUUAUCCAUGUCAUAUAA